UAAUACGGAGGGAGCAAGCGUUGUCCGGAAUCACUGGGCGUAAAGGGUGCGUAGGCGGGGACGCAAGUCUGUGGUGAAAACUGACGGCUCAACCGUCAGCCUGCCGCGGAAACUGCGUUUCUUGAGUGCUGCAGAGGAGACCGGAAUUCCUGGUGUAGCGGUGAAAUGCGUAGAUAUCAGGAAGAACACCGGUUGCGAAGGCGGGUCUCUGGGCAUGCACUGACGCUAAGGCACGAAAGCUAGGGGAGCAAACAGGAUUAGAUACCCUGGUAGUCCUAGCCGUAAACGAUGAGCACUAGGUGUUGGGUGGGCCGAUCCACUCAGUGCCGCAGCUAACGCAUUAAGUGCUCCGCCUGGGGAGUACGCUCGCAAGGGUG
Molecule: ribosomal RNA, 377 nt
Filed under: uncultured bacterium
Lineage: Bacteria
Description: bacterial SSU rRNA
Rfam family: Bacterial small subunit ribosomal RNA
Source: RNAcentral